Molecule: ribosomal RNA, 2142 nt
Filed under: Synura macropora
Lineage: Eukaryota; Synurophyceae; Synurales; Mallomonadaceae
Description: partial 23S ribosomal RNA
Rfam family: Bacterial large subunit ribosomal RNA
Source: RNAcentral
ACUUCUUACUGAAUCUAUAAGUAAAGAAAGAGCAGACCUAGGGAAUUGAAACAUCUUAGUACCUAGAGGAAAAGAAAGUAAAAACGAUUCCCUUAGUAGUGGCGAACGAAAUGGGAAGAGCCUAAACUUUUAAAAUUUAAUUUUUAAAAGGGUUGUGGGAUAGAAAAAUCUGAUACCGUAAGGUGAAAAGAUAAAAAAGAAGAAAUGUGAAUUUUUUCUUUUCGAAAUUAGGUGAAAUAAUUGGGAAAUUAUACCGAAGAAAGUGAAAGUCUUGUAACCAAAAAUUUCAAUAAAAAAUUCUAUUCCCGAGUAGCAUGGGGCACGUGGAAUCCCGUGUGAAUCUGCGAGGACCACCUCGUAAGGCUAAAUAUUCCUGGAUGUCCGAUAGCGAAUAGUACCGCGAGGGAAAGGUGAAAAGAACCCCGGGAGGGGAGUGAAAUAGAACGUGAAAUUGCAAGCCCACAAACAGAAGGAGAACGACUUAGCGUUUAACUUCGUGCCUGUUGAAGAAUGUUCCGGCGACUUAUAGUUAGUGGCAGGUUAAAAUAGAGAUAUUGGAGCCAUAGUGAAAGCGAGCUUGAAUAGAGCGUUUGUCACUAGUUAUAGACCCGAACCCGGUUGAUCUAACCAUGGCCAGAAUGAAACUUGGGUAACACUAAGUGGAGGUUCGAACCGACUGAUGUUGAAAAAUCAGCGGAUGAGCUGUGGUUAGGGGUGAAAUGCCAAUCGAAACCGGAGCUAGCUGGUUCUCCCCGAAAUGUAUUUAGGUGCAGCGGUUAAUAUUAUAGCGUAGGGGUAAAGCACUGUUUCGGUGCGGGCUGGUAAUUCGGUACCAAAUCGAGGCAAACUCUGAAUACUACGUGUACAGUUAACCAGUAAGACUAUGGGGGAUAAGCUUCAUAGUCAAGAGGGAAACAGCCCAGAUCACCAGCUAAGGCCCCUAAAUAAUUACUAAGUGAUAAAGGAAGUGGAAAGGCUUAGACAACCAGGAGGUUUGCUUAGAAGCAGCAAUCCUUUAAAAAGUGCGUAAUAGCUUACUGGUCUAGCAAUUCUGCGCCGAAAACUUACGGGACUAAGUAAUUUGCCGAAGCUGUGAGAUAGUUUAUGAAAAAGUAGACAAGAUUUUAUAUCUUGGAGAAAACUUACUAGCAAUGUCUAGGACAUACUAUCGGUAGGGGAGCGUUCUGUUGUAGGUUGAAGUGUUAGCGUUUCCUCCGCAAGGCUCGUCCACGGAGGGUGAGUCAGGUCCUAAGGUGAGGCUGAAAAGCGUAGUUGAUGGAUAAUAGGUUAAUAUUCCUAUACUGAUUAUUACUGGUAUCGAGGGACGAAGAAGGCUAAACUAGCCAGAAAUUGGUUACUGGUUUAAGGAUUCAAGGUGUUGAAGAUUAGAGAAAAUAAUCUGAGCUGAGAUCUGAAUGCAAGAUUUAAAAAAUCAAAGUAGUUGAUGUCAUACUUCCAAGAAAAGCUCGCUAUGCCUUAAGUAAUAAUUACCUGUACCUUAAACCGACACAGGUAGGUAGGUAGAGAAUACCAAGGAGCGCGGGAGAACCCUCCUUAAGGAACUCGGCAAAAUAGCUCUGUAACUUCGGAAGAAAGAGUGCCUUUUAGGCUGCAAUAUCAAGUUCCAAGCAACUGUUUAGCAAAAACACAGGUCUCCGCUAAGUUGUAAAACGACGUAUGGGGGCUGACGCCUGCCCAGUGCCGGAAGGUUAAAGAAGUCGGUUAGCGUAAGCAAAGCUGGUAACUGAAGCCCCGGUGAACGGCGGCCGUAACUAUAACGGUCCUAAGGUAGCGAAAUUCCUUGUCAGGUAAGUUCUGACCCGCACGAAUGGCGUAAUGAUUUGGAAGCUGUCUCGAGGAGGGACUCGGUGAAAUAGAACUGUCUGUGAAGAUGCGGACUACCUGCGCCUGGACAGUAAGACCCUAUGAAGCUUUACUGUAUCCUGAAAUUGGAUUUCGAUUUUCUUUGCGCAGAAUAGGUGGGAGACGUUGAGAUUAGUCUUUCGGGAUUAAAAGGAGUCAUUAGUGAGAUACCACUCUUAGAAAAUUUAAAUUCUAACUUCAUACCGUAACCCGGUUGAAAGACAGUUUCAGGUGGGCAGUUUGAAUGGGGCGGUCGCCUCCCAAAGGGUAACGGAGGCG